This 437-nucleotide ribosomal RNA is filed under the name uncultured cyanobacterium. RNAcentral's name for it is "bacterial SSU rRNA". It matches the Rfam family "Bacterial small subunit ribosomal RNA", at positions 8 to 487 of the family's 1533-position model. Lineage: Bacteria; Bacillati; Cyanobacteriota. The record is from RNAcentral.
AGAGUUUGAUCCUGGCUCAGGAUGAACGCUGGCGGUCUGCUUAACACAUGCAAGUCGAACGGAAGUAGCAAUACUUUAGUGGCGGACGGGUGAGUAACGCGUGAGAAUCUACCUUCAGGACGGAGACAACAGUUGGAAACGACUGCUAACCCCCGAUGUACCGCAAGGGCAAAUAUUUAUAGCCUGAAGAAGAGCUCGCGUCCGAUUAGCUAGUUGGGGGGGUAAAAGCCCACCAAGGCGACGAUCGGUAGCUGGUCUGAGAGGACGAUCAGCCACACUGGGACUGAGACACGGCCCAGACUCCUACGGGAGGCAGCAGUGGGGAAUUUUCCGCAAUGGGCGCAAGCCUGACGGAGCAAGACCGCGUGGGGGAGGAAGGCUCUUGGGUUGUAAACCCCUUUUCUCUGGGAAGAACAAAAUGACGGUACCAGAGAAUC